Molecule: ribosomal RNA, 411 nt
Filed under: uncultured Prevotella sp.
Lineage: Bacteria; Pseudomonadati; Bacteroidota; Bacteroidia; Bacteroidales; Prevotellaceae
Description: bacterial SSU rRNA
Rfam family: Bacterial small subunit ribosomal RNA
Source: RNAcentral
CCUACGGGGGGCAGCAGUGGGGAAUAUUGCACAAUGGGCGCAAGCCUGAUGCAGCCAUGCCGCGUGUAUGAAGAAGGCCUUCGGGUUGUAAAGUACUUUCAGCGGGGAGGAAGGCGAUGCGGUUAAUAACCGCGUCGAUUGACGUUACCCGCAGAAGAAGCACCGGCUAACUCCGUGCCAGCAGCCGCGGUAAUACGGAGGGUGCAAGCGUUAAUCGGAAUUACUGGGCGUAAAGCGCACGCAGGCGGUCUGUUAAGUCAGAUGUGAAAUCCCCGGGCUUAACCUGGGAACUGCAUUUGAAACUGGCAGGCUUGAGUCUUGUAGAGGGGGGUAGAAUUCCAGGUGUAGCGGUGAAAUGCGUAGAGAUCUGGAGGAAUACCGGUGGCGAAGGCGGCCCCCUGGACAAAGACU